This 255-nucleotide ribosomal RNA is filed under the name uncultured bacterium. Its description in RNAcentral is "partial 16S ribosomal RNA". It matches the Rfam family "Bacterial small subunit ribosomal RNA", at positions 524 to 776 of the family's 1533-position model. The record is from RNAcentral.
UACGUAGGGUGCGAGCGUUUGUCCGGAAUUAUUGGGCGUAAAGAGCUCGUAGGCGGUGUGUCACGUCGGCCGUGAAAACCUGCAGCUUAACUGUGGGCGUGCGGUCGAUACGGGCAUCACUGGAGUUCGGCAGGGGAGACUGGAAUUCCUGGUGUAGCGGUGAAAUGCGCAGAUAUCAGGAGGAACACCGGUGGCGAAGGCGGGUCUCUGGGCCGAUACUGACGCUGAGGAGCGAAAGCAUGGGGAGCGAACAGG